RNAcentral lists this ribosomal RNA (496 nucleotides) under uncultured bacterium. RNAcentral describes it as "partial 16S ribosomal RNA". It matches the Rfam family "Bacterial small subunit ribosomal RNA", at positions 28 to 507 of the family's 1533-position model. The record is from RNAcentral.
GAUGAACGCUGGCGGCGUGCCUAAUACAUGCAAGUCGAGCGAACAGACGAGGAGCUUGCUCCUCUGACGUUAGCGGCGGACGGGUGAGUAACACGUGGAUAACCUACCUAUAAGACUGGGAUAACUUCGGGAAACCGGAGCUAAUACCGGAUAAUAUAUUGAACCGCAUGGUUCAAUAGUGAAAGACGGUUUUGCUGUCACUUAUAGAUGGAUCCGCGCCGCAUUAGCUAGUUGGUAAGGUAACGGCUUACCAAGGCAACGAUGCGUAGCCGACCUGAGAGGGUAUACGGCCCCCCGGGACCGAGACCCGGGCCCGGCGCCCAAGGGAGGGAGCAGGGGGGAAUUUUUCCGCAAGGGGGGAAACCCGGGCGAGGCAGCCCCGGUGGGGGAAGAAGGGUUUCGGGUUCGAAAAACCUUGUUUUGGGAAAAAAAAGAAGUGGGAAAAAACUUUGCCGUUCUUACGGGUCCCAAAGAAGAAGCCCAGGCCAAACUCGGG